UUGGUGUAUGAUUGGGGAUGGUUGGUAGAGGCUAUUCGGCGACUCGGCCUGUGAUGUGCGGAGGCCGCUGGAGGUGGAUGGUGAUGAGCACCGAUUUCAUUUCUAGGGUUUUGGGGGGGCGGAUGGGAGGAGCUGGAUUUCAUUUCUAGGGUUUGGGUCACGGCUUCACAUCGUCAGUUUCUUUAAUAUUUUUUGGUUGGAGUAGCUUUCAGCUAUCAACAGUGGGAUUUAUCUGUUAUCACUUCAAUUUUGCUCUGGACAGCAGAUUCGUGGGGGAAAGCGGUUUCAGCAGCUGGUCCCUUUCUGAUGGAACGAAAUGCAAGUUUCUCUUCUGAUUUGGGUGUAAACAACUCCUCUCCAAGAUAUCAGAGGAAGCGAAAUUCAGACACAUUCAUCAACACCAAACUGAAACUAUGGUCUACCAACUAUCUACAAGAGAUUGAUUGAAGAGAAGCCAGAGGGGGAUAACUAUGAACGAGGAAAGGGCCUCAUGGAGAGAAGAAAAUGAAACACUCGUAUCAAAUCCACUGAAUUACCAUGCAUUGAUGGAUGAGGACCAUGCAUUAUCGAUGGGAGGACGGUGAUCAGGGAACGCAUGGCAUGUGCAGACGGGCUUGACUGCAUGUUACAUGUAUCCUCCCCAGAAGUUUGACAUGAGGAGCCAGCAGUUCUUCCACUGAUAACUGAUGAACGAAGAUUCCCAGUCAUCUGCAUCAGCAGCAGAUGAACCGAACUGUGAGCUGCACAGAUGGAGCCAUGGAGAGCACUGCAUCUGGGUCAAUCAACAAUUAUGAACGUUUCUCCCUUCCAUUCGCUCUGCCCUCAUCUGAAGAGGACCACAGCACCUAACGACCGAGAUGAUGAACUGUGGACUGGAGAGCACCACACACCCCUCCCGGAUUUCCUGGCGAGGUGAUGAGCAGAUGAAGCUUGGCGAUGCAGCGGCGGCAGGCACUGCUCUGCGCGUGAACUGCAGCCGUGCAGGAGGAGCCAGAUCCCGGCACAGUGCUGGGCAGGCAGUGCCCCCCCCACACCAUAUGCCCGGCUCCUGGGCGAUGAUGCAGCAACUACCGGGGUCGCCAUCGCCCAACCGAACGUCUCGCCGGUGCCCUCCCGCCCCCGGCCGAGAUAUGCAGCCACCAACCUACGGUGUGCGCCCGAAAGUGACCACAUCUUGCCAUGAUGGGUCUGGAUGGCCCUCCCCUUCCAUAAUUUUCACAUUUGCACACCCAGAAAUGAGUGGUAGUUCGUUUUCGUUUGACAUGUUAAGAAGAUGCUUAGCUUAAGCUUUUUGGGUGAACCGGUCGAUGAUAUAGAUUAACGUCGAAAUGGAACAUCAAUAAAAUAUGGAUGUAAAUUGAGUCAUGGUUUUAUAAAUGAGUGAUAGUUCGUUUUCAUUUGACAUGUUAAGAAUAUGCGAGCUUAAACUUUUGGGUGAACUGGUCGAUAAAAUAUAUUAACGUCAAAAUGGAACAUCAAUAAAAUAUGGGUGUAAAUUGAGUCA
This is a non-coding RNA of Oryza sativa Japonica Group (Japanese rice), 1504 nucleotides long. Lineage: Eukaryota; Viridiplantae; Streptophyta; Magnoliopsida; Poales; Poaceae. The record is from RefSeq and is a predicted model, not a curated record.